Long non-coding RNA from Gigantopelta aegis, 2408 nucleotides. RefSeq lists it as uncharacterized. NCBI's taxonomy places the organism in Eukaryota, Metazoa, Mollusca, Gastropoda, Neomphalida, Peltospiridae. The record is from RefSeq and is a predicted model, not a curated record. The transcript has 2 exons.
AGACACACACCAAGCGAUAUCACUAUGCAUCAUGAACAACAUCAUGUCUACUAUUUCGGUUGACAAGGAGGUUGAGAUUUUCAACAACGUUAGACGAUUCCAAGAUGUCUUGCCAAAUGUGGAAUUGACUGAGGGAACCUUUAGACUAUUUUGCCAGCUGGCAUUUGUGUACCUGGAAUCAACUGGAGUGUACACCAAUAUGUGACACUGGAAAGGGAAGGACUAGACACCUCAGUGCAUUUUUUAAUGUUUUAGAGACACUUCAGCACAAUGCUUAAUUAUUUAGAGACAGCCGAGUACAUUGUUUAAUGUUUUAGAGACACCCCAGUACAUUAUAUAAUGUUGUACAGACACUUCAAUAUAUUUUUUCUGUUUUAGAGGCACAUCAGUACAUUGUGUGAUGUUUUAUUGUUUGAUGUUCUAGAGACACCACUGUAUAUUGUGUGGUUUUAUUGUUCGAUGUUCUAGAGACACCACAGUACACUGUGUGAUGUUUUAUUGUUUCAUGUUCUAGAGACACCACAGUACAUUGUGUUAUGUCUUAUUGUUUCAUGUUCUAGUGACGUCACAGUACAUUGUGUGAUGUUUUAUUGUUUGAUGUUUUAGAGACACCACUGUACAUUGUGUGAUGUUUUAUUGUUUGAUGUUCUAGAGACACCACAGUACAUUGUGUGAAGUUUUAUUGUUUGAUGUUCUAGACACCACUGUACAUUGUGUGAUGUGUUAUUGUUUGGUGUUCUAGAGACACCACUGUACACUGUGUGAUGUUUAAUUGUCUGAUGUUCUAAAGACACUGCAGUACAUUCUUUGAUGUUUCAACAAACGAUCAGGAUGGAAUCAGAAUCAUUCCAUCACAUUUCUUCUAUCAAAUAUAUCUUUUCUAGUUUGCUUCAGAUGAUUGCAUUUCACCAAAAUGUGAUGUAUUGUUAGAUUACACUGACAGUACUCACAUUGAGGUGGGUGAUCUUUCUUCAAGAUAAAUAAAUGGGUCAAUAAUGUAUGACCAAUGCGAACACAGCGCAAUACUAGUUCAUCCAUGCUGCACCGCCUAUAUGAGGACUGCCACUCACUGGACUGUUUUUGUUACAUAAUGAAGCUUGUCCAUUACCACGUUGUUCCAAUCAUCUUGCCAAGUUGAAAAGAUAAAUUGGUUAAUGCUGUUUAAAAUGGGUAUAAGCUACACAAACCUUGGCAUGAGGCAAAUCCAAAGCAGACCUGGUAGCUGAAUCUGCCUGUUCGUUACCUCCGAUGCCAUCAUAGCUGAGCACCCAACAAAAUAUAAUGUCUUUAUUGGCAAUGGAUAAAAAGACACAUUUCUGUAUCACCAAUCCAAUCAAGGGAUGUUCCAGCUUCAUAUUAGAUAACGCUUGAAGACACGAAACUGAAUCUGUGAAUAUAAUAAAUAUGCAUCAGAGAAAUGGUGCAGAUGUAUGCUAAAGUGCGACACAGAACUCUGACAACUUACACUAAGUGGUAGUGCCGUAGAGAGCAACAUCUAAAAUUCAAAACCGUGUAUAUAAAAAUAACAUAAAGAUUAACAUUGAUAUUGUAUAUUUGUGAUAGUUUUAUUGGAUGUUAACUUGGCUAAUUAAAAUUUAGUAAUGUGUUUGCCUAACUAAUGAACUAAUUUAUAUAAUUGUAAAAAAAUGCCUGACGAAUAAUGUAACAUUUCCAAUAUUAAAACCAUUUUGGUUUUAGUUAUUUGAUUCAGAUAUGGAAGAAAGAAUCAAGAAGUCAUUUACAAUGAUGUAUCCUAUAAAACAAUGGUAAAGGGGUGGAUUCUGACCAGGCAUGUAUGAAUUAAUGUUCUAUGCCUUUAAAUAAAACCAAAAACAAGGAAUAGCCUAGCUUGUAAAACAGCCAACAUUGUCAUCUAAAAUAAUGCAUUUAUUUGAGGCUUGAAAAUAAAAAUUGCACUCAAGACCCUCCCCACCCACACCCUCAACAAACAGCUCUCCCAAUCCCAAUAUCGACAUUGGUGGGGAGAAAAAGGAAACAAACCAACAACAACAAAACAACAACAAAAAGAAAAAAAAAGAAGAAGAAUGAAACGUGAACAAAAAUUAAACAAAACACCAAAAGAAAGCAACAAAGAGAUUUUCCACAAUUUACUAGAAUACACUUUCCUAUAAUACAAUAAAUAGUAAUAUUUUAUAUGCAUUCAAUAGCUUUAUUGCUAUUAAUAUAAAUAAUAAAAUAUUACUUAAUAACACAUGUUGUUUGAUUCCGUGAGAUGGGUUUUGGAGAGGAGUUUAAUGUAACCUGUCUAAGGAUAGAAUAAAACAAAAGUUACACAAUAAGCUAACAGCAAGCAAACUCUGGAAAUAAAAUUUACAUUAAUUACACAAUAAGCUAAUAGCAGGUAAUAUAUAUAUAUAUAUAUAUAUAUAUAUAUAUAUAUAUAUAUA